Molecule: ribosomal RNA, 422 nt
Filed under: uncultured bacterium
Lineage: Bacteria
Description: bacterial SSU rRNA
Rfam family: Bacterial small subunit ribosomal RNA
Source: RNAcentral
AUUUUGGACAAUGGGCGCAAGCCUGAUCCAGCUAUUCCGCGUGUGGGAUGAAGGCCCUCGGGUUGUAAACCACUUUUGUAGAGAACGANAAGACACCUUCGAAUAAAGGGUGUUGCUGACGGUACUCUAAGAAUAAGCACCGGCUAACUACGCGCCAGCAGCCGCGGUAAUACGUAGGGUGCGAGCGUUAAUCGGAAUUACUGGGCGUAAAGGGUGCGCAGGCGGUUGAGUAAGACACAUGUGAAAUCCCCGAGCUUAACUCGGGAAUGGCAUAUGUGACUGCUCGACUAGAGUGUGUCAGAGGGAGGCGGAAUUCCACGCGUAGCAGUGAAAUGCGUAGAUAUGUGGAAGAACACCGAUGGCGAAGGCAGCCUCCUGGGACAUAACUGACGCUCAGGCACGAAAGCGUGGGGAGCAAACAG